UUUCAUAUAGUUUACAUAGAACAUAACAUUUUCAAUGUUAAAGAGUCCUGACUGUGAAAU
Molecule: transfer RNA, 60 nt
Filed under: Thereuonema tuberculata
Lineage: Eukaryota; Metazoa; Arthropoda; Chilopoda; Scutigeromorpha; Scutigeridae
Description: tRNA-Glu
Source: RNAcentral